UGGGGAAUUUUGCACAAUGGGGGAAACCCUGAUGCAGCGACGCCGCGUGAUUUAGAAGGCCUUCGGGUUGUAAAAAUCUUUUUUACGGGAUGAAAAUGACAGUACCGUAAGAAUAAGGUCCGGCUAACUACGUGCCAGCAGCCGCGGUAAUACGUAUGGACCGAGCGUUGUCCGGAAUCAUUGGGCGUAAAUGGUACGUAGGCGGCCUAGUAAGUUAGAAGUGAAAUAAUAUAGCUCAACUAUAUAAAGCUUUUAAAACUGCUAGGCUUGAGAGAUGGAAAGGAAAGUGGAAUUCCUAGUGUAGCGGUGAAAUGCGCAGAUAUUAGGAAGAAUACCGGUGGCGAAGGCGACUUUCUGGUCAUCAUCUGACGCUGAGGUAAGAAAGCGUGGGUAGCAAACAGG
Molecule: ribosomal RNA, 402 nt
Filed under: bacterium
Lineage: Bacteria
Description: partial 16S ribosomal RNA
Rfam family: Bacterial small subunit ribosomal RNA
Source: RNAcentral